RNAcentral lists this ribosomal RNA (482 nucleotides) under uncultured bacterium. RNAcentral describes it as "partial 16S ribosomal RNA". It matches the Rfam family "Bacterial small subunit ribosomal RNA", at positions 30 to 507 of the family's 1533-position model. The record is from RNAcentral.
AUUGAACGCUGGCGGCAUGCCUUACACAUGCAAGUCGAACGGUAACAGGUCUUCGGAUGCUGACGAGUGGCGAACGGGUGAGUAAUACAUCGGAACGUGCCCGAUCGUGGGGGAUAACGAGGCGAAAGCUUUGCUAAUACCGCAUACGAUCUACGGAUGAAAGCGGGGGAUCUUCGGACCUCGCGCGGACGGAGCGGCCGAUGGCAGAUUAGGUAGUUGGUGGGAUAAAAGCUUACCAAGCCGACGAUCUGUAGCUGGUCUGAGAGGAUGAUCAGCCACACUGGGACUGAGACACGGCCCAGACUCCUACGGGAGGCAGCAGUGGGGAAUUUUGGACAAUGGGCGAAAGCCUGAUCCAGCCAUGCCGCGUGCAGGAUGAAGGCCUUUUGGUUGUAAACUGCUUUUGUACGGAACGAAAAGCCUCUUUCUAAUAAAGAGGGGUCAUGACGGUACCGUAAGAAUAAGCACCGGCUAACUACGUG